RNAcentral lists this long non-coding RNA (294 nucleotides) under Capsicum annuum. RNAcentral's name for it is "long non-coding RNA (CANN_LNC005535)". Lineage: Eukaryota; Viridiplantae; Streptophyta; Magnoliopsida; Solanales; Solanaceae. The record is from RNAcentral.
GACAGGUCUUAAUUGUACAACAAAUAUUUUGGUCAACUAGCACAUAGGCAGUGAAUUAUGGACAUAUGUAUCAUACCAAAGUUGUGCACAUUUUAAGGAAGAUGGAAAAUGACAGCAACGAGUUGCCAAGGCUUCGUUCAAUUAUUAAGGGUUUGAUGGUGGCUACUGACUUGAACGAUGGUUAUGCAUUUCGCCGAGCUGUAUAUAUGUUCCUGAGAUAUUUAAAUUACACACAUUAUUGAAUUAUUUUUUCUGUAAUUUGACAAGAGUCUUUGUCUUUAAUAUGCAAUGGUG